RNAcentral lists this ribosomal RNA (500 nucleotides) under uncultured bacterium. RNAcentral's name for it is "partial 16S ribosomal RNA". It matches the Rfam family "Bacterial small subunit ribosomal RNA", at positions 30 to 523 of the family's 1533-position model. The record is from RNAcentral.
AUUGAACGCUGGCGGCAGGCCUAACACAUGCAAGUCGAGCGGAUGACGGGAGCUUGCUCCUUGAUUCAGCGGCGGACGGGUGAGUAAUGCCCAGGAAUCUGCCUGGUAGUGGGGGACAACGUUUCGAAAGGAACGCUAAUACCGCAUACGUCCUACGGGAGAAAGCAGGGGACCUUCGGGCCUUGCGCUAUCAGAUGAGCCUAGGUCGGAUUAGCUAGUUGGUGGGGUAAUGGCUCACCAAGGCGACGAUCCGUAACUGGUCUGAGAGGAUGAUCAGUCACACUGGAACUGAGACACGGUCCAGACUCCUACAGGAGGCAGCAGUGGGGAAUAUUGGACAAUGGGCGAAAGCCUGAUCCAGCCAUGCCGCGUGUGUGAAGAAGGUCUUCGGAUUGUAAAGCACUUUAAGUUGGGAGGAAGGGCAGUAAGCUAAUACCUUGCUGUUUUGACGUUACCGACAGAAUAAGCACCGGCUAACUCUGUGCCAGCCGCCGCCGUAA